CAGUAGCCGCGGGAAUACAGAGGGUGCAAGCGUUAAUCGGAAUUACUGGGCGUAAAGCGCGCGUAGGUGGUUUGUUAAGUUGGAUGUGAAAGCCCCGGGCUCAACCUGGGAACUGCAUCCAAAACUGGCAAGCUAGAGUACGGUAGAGGGUGGUGGAAUUUCCUGUGUAGCGGUGAAAUGCGUAGAUAUAGGAAGUAACACCAGUGGCGAAGGCGACCACCUGGACUGAUACUGACACUGAGGUGCGAAAGCGUGGGGAGCAAACAGGAUUAGAUACCCGUGUAGUCCCUGUCUCUUAUAC
Molecule: ribosomal RNA, 301 nt
Filed under: uncultured bacterium
Lineage: Bacteria
Description: partial 16S ribosomal RNA
Rfam family: Bacterial small subunit ribosomal RNA
Source: RNAcentral